Molecule: transfer RNA, 75 nt
Filed under: Bacillota bacterium
Lineage: Bacteria; Bacillati; Bacillota
Also listed under: 1 other name
Description: Firmicutes bacterium (anaerobic digester metagenome) tRNA-Arg
Rfam family: tRNA
About the family: Transfer RNA (tRNA) molecules are approximately 80 nucleotides in length.
Source: RNAcentral
GCGCCUAUAGCUCAGCGGAUAGAGCACCGGCCUCCGGAGCCGGGUGCGCAGGUUCGAUUCCUGCUAGGCGCACCA